This 496-nucleotide long non-coding RNA is filed under the name Cyanistes caeruleus (blue tit). RNAcentral describes it as "lncRNA (ENSCCEG00000006622.1)". The record is from RNAcentral. Lineage: Eukaryota; Metazoa; Chordata; Aves; Passeriformes; Paridae.
CCUUCAAGUUUCCAGCUUUUUGCAUGACUGAUACUACUUCAAAAUAGUUUUUUUUUUCUUUUUUUGCUCAAGGAGCUUCCAGUUCUCGAAAGACAACAGCUCUGGAAGAUCAGUGCAGAAUGAGAGUUGAGGGACUGUGAGAACUGCACAGGAAUUAAUCUUAGUCAUGAAAACAUAUGGAUGUGAGGAAGAGCCCAGGGAGAGGUGAAGAGAGCAAGACAAAUCUGAUGAGCAGAGGAACUGUGAGAGCGGGCAAGGAGAAUGAAAGAUAGCACACAGACAGUUUGAGAACGAGACAAGUCUAAUUAGAUACAGCCCUAUGUCAUCAAACUAGCAACACAGAGCACACUGCAGCAGUAUAAAUUGGCAUGAGCUGUGAAGAGUUUAAAUGGAGAAAGAUCUGGAAUGGGAAAAACUAGACAGAAUACCUGAAGGACAACUGUGAAACUAGAAUUCCAGCACCAAAUAAAAUACCAGCUUCCUAAGAAAAAAAGCA